Long non-coding RNA from Dromiciops gliroides (monito del monte), 714 nucleotides. RefSeq lists it as uncharacterized. NCBI's taxonomy places the organism in Eukaryota, Metazoa, Chordata, Mammalia, Microbiotheria, Microbiotheriidae. The transcript is spliced from 3 exons. The record is from RefSeq and is a predicted model, not a curated record.
AUUGCAGAGAUUUUCUUUACGUUAAGUGUCCGGAUUCCCGGACCCACUGGCCAAUUUCCUCAGAUGGGGUCACGCACGCGCGCUCCCCGGGCCUAAGAGGGCAAAGCUUCUAAACAUUUCCCCACAAACUGGUCUUCCCUCCACCGCAGCUCCGCGGUGGACAACCGGGCGAUCCCGCCGGGCGACCUGGACGGAUGAGCGAAACCUUCUGGGAUCCCACGAGCCCACCGCAGGCCUUGCUGUGCCCCCACCAGUCGCGGGGAGCCCACAGCCACGUAGAGUGCACUCGACUAGGCACGUCGGGGACUCAAGGUGUAUUGCUAACUACGGAGCAGACUGAUAGAUACCAGCUUCUCAGAAUGGCUGUUAGGCUCAUGCAGACGGGAUUACUGAAAGGAAAAUGAUAUUCGGACCUGGAACAAAAAUGGCUAGUGGUGCACAAGAUCCAAGAUAAAUGAGAAGAAGGUCUGACUGCUUCUAGUUGCCUUCAAUGAGUUCAAGUUAUUAAGUCUAUAUAAACUAAAUCCUGGAGUACUGAGGGAGAAAAAAAGCCAAAACCCAAAACUGUGAGAUAUGAUUGCUGAGCUGCUGGUGAUAAUCUCUGAAAGAUCUUGGAGAACAAAAGAUGUUCUAGAGGACUGGAGAAGAGCAACUGUUCUAUACAUUUUUGGACAUUAACAGUGUAGGAAUGUUUUGCUUGAUUAUGCAUAUUAC